RNAcentral lists this ribosomal RNA (253 nucleotides) under uncultured bacterium. RNAcentral describes it as "partial 16S ribosomal RNA". It matches the Rfam family "Bacterial small subunit ribosomal RNA", at positions 524 to 776 of the family's 1533-position model. The record is from RNAcentral.
UACGAGGGGGGCGAGCGUUGUUCGGAAUUAUUGGGCGUAAAGGGUGUGUAGGCGGUUUGGUAAGUCUUAUGUGAAAUCUACAGGCUCAACUUGUAGUCUGCAUGAGAAACUGCCGGGCUUGAGUAUGGGAGAGGUGAGUGGAAUUCCUGGUGUAGCGGUGAAAUGCGUAGAUAUCAGGAGGAACACCUGUGGCGAAAGCGGCUCACUGGACCAUAACUGACGCUGAGGCGCGAAAGCUAGGGGAGCAAACAGG